This 948-nucleotide long non-coding RNA is filed under the name Daucus carota (carrot). RNAcentral describes it as "long non-coding RNA (DCAR_LNC004029)". The record is from RNAcentral. Lineage: Eukaryota; Viridiplantae; Streptophyta; Magnoliopsida; Apiales; Apiaceae.
UGGAGAUGCUCUAACAUAGGUGAAUCUGCUCUUAGAAAAACAAACAGAAUUAUAAUAUAAAUGAUCAUAUUUUACAGGAAAUUUGUCUAAUAUUUUAAAUUUUGAAUUUUUAGAUAUUUAUUUGCGGAUAUAUUAUCUCAUCUCAAAUUUAACAAAUUUAUUAUCUUUUAAAAUAUAUAAUCAAUUAAAUUGACAAAAUAUUAUCUUGACCUCUUCCUCAACUACUAUUCGACCUCCCCGUCAACUUCUCAAACCAGACUAACUCUUCCGUCUCGGCCUCUUUCGCUACCACCCUAUGUAAUUCCGACGAUAACUCCGUCGCCAGCCCGAACCUCCGCAAUGUUUACAUCUCUCACGAAUAACUCCUCUCCGUCAUCUCUUUACCAUCGUUUGCAUCUCUGUAACGCAGUGCUUCAAACUCAGAACUACCUCUCUCUCAGCUAUCCAAUCAAACUCCGCUCACCACCGUAACAGCCCACACGGCCACCCGUCAAUUAACCUUUAUCCCUCCGUACGUGGCAUGGCCGCCCAAAACUAAUACCAUCAGCCCUGUUCAAUCCCAAUCAACUGCCAUCACCUCCGAUCGAGCCUCACAACCGCCGAUUGCAAGUUUCAAACCUACCGCCCUCCUUCUUCAGCCACCCAGUUGUGAUUUUGGGAUAAUUUUUAAUUAAUUUUGUGAUGAUUUUUAGUUGAUUUUGUGAUUUCUUUUGUGUUAUUAAUACCGACCCGGCAGGGACACCAUCUUCGCAAUUUGUAACCACGUGCAGCUUAUCAUGCAAAUAAAUAUAUGUAUUGACAGAUUUUUUUAAAGCAACAUUUGUAAUUGCAAUUGUAAUUGUUGAUCAUAUUUUUGUAAAUAUUUUUUUAUAGAUAAUAUUUUUGCAAUUUGUUUUAAAAAAUGAUAGUAUUUUUUUAUUUUCUUUAAUUUGAAUAUUUAUGCAAAAC